This 102-nucleotide ribosomal RNA is filed under the name Caerostris darwini. The record is from RNAcentral. Lineage: Eukaryota; Metazoa; Arthropoda; Arachnida; Araneae; Araneidae.
ACGGCCGUACCAUGCAGAAUAUACCGGUUCUCGUUAGAUCACCGAAGUUAAGCAUCAUUGGGCGCGGUCAGUACUUGGGUGGGUGACCACCUGGGAACAACA